ACUUUAUUAAUUUUUUUGUAAAAUGAUUUUUUGCAUUAUUAUGACUAGAGUUUAAUAAAUAUUUGUUGAAAACUAAAAUCUAGGUCGGAGAUGAAGUUUUCCUCAAAAGCAUUCUAAACUUUACCGAGACUGUAGCAAGAGGAAGGGUCCAGAGCUUGGACCCAAAUGAUCUAGUUGGUCGUAUAGAGAUUGGACCAGAAUGGUGUGAGGUAAACGUUCAAGUACCAAUAAACUUGGUAAGACCAUAUGGUUUAUUUUCUACAAUUCAAGAUUGUAUUGGUGCAUCCAUCGCAUGGCGCUAUCCAUUCAUCUCGGUAGUCCAUGAGGAUUGAGAACGCAUGAUGACUCAAGAUUUUAUGCUUCUAAUUUCUUUAAUUGCUUUUAAUUUCUUUGUUAAAUGUUAAGACUUUAUGUUAGAUAAUGUUAUAACUUAUUUAUGGUUAAUGUUUUUGUUAUGAACAUGCUUAUUUGAAAUA
Molecule: long non-coding RNA, 476 nt
Organism: Helianthus annuus (common sunflower)
Lineage: Eukaryota; Viridiplantae; Streptophyta; Magnoliopsida; Asterales; Asteraceae
Exons: 2
Source: RefSeq, a predicted model, not a curated record